RNAcentral lists this ribosomal RNA (667 nucleotides) under Lacticaseibacillus paracasei. Its description in RNAcentral is "bacterial SSU rRNA". It matches the Rfam family "Bacterial small subunit ribosomal RNA", at positions 35 to 667 of the family's 1533-position model. Lineage: Bacteria; Bacillati; Bacillota; Bacilli; Lactobacillales; Lactobacillaceae. The record is from RNAcentral.
GCUGGCGGCGUGCCUAUACAUGCAAGUCGAACGAGUUCUCGUUGAUGAUCGGUGCUUGCACCGAGAUUCAACAUGGAACGAGUGGCGGACGGGUGAGUAACACGUGGGUAACCUGCCCUUAAGUGGGGGAUAACAUUUGGAAACAGAUGCUAAUACCGCAUAGAUCCAAGAACCGCAUGGUUCUUGGCUGAAAGAUGGCGUAAGCUAUCGCUUUUGGAUGGACCCGCGGCGUAUUAGCUAGUUGGUGAGGUAAUGGCUCACCAAGGCGAUGAUACGUAGCCGAACUGAGAGGUUGAUCGGCCACAUUGGGACUGAGACACGGCCCAAACUCCUACGGGAGGCAGCAGUAGGGAAUCUUCCACAAUGGACGCAAGUCUGAUGGAGCAACGCCGCGUGAGUGAAGAAGGCUUUCGGGUCGUAAAACUCUGUUGUUGGAGAAGAAUGGUCGGCAGAGUAACUGUUGUCGGCGUGACGGUAUCCAACCAGAAAGCCACGGCUAACUACGUGCCAGCAGCCGCGGUAAUACGUAGGUGGCAAGCGUUAUCCGGAUUUAUUGGGCGUAAAGCGAGCGCAGGCGGUUUUUUAAAUCUGAUGUGAAAGCCCUCGGCUUAACCGAGGAAGCGCAUCGGAAACUGGGAAACUUGAGUGCAGAAGAGGACAGUGGAAC